This 253-nucleotide ribosomal RNA is filed under the name uncultured bacterium. RNAcentral's name for it is "partial 16S ribosomal RNA". It matches the Rfam family "Bacterial small subunit ribosomal RNA", at positions 524 to 776 of the family's 1533-position model. The record is from RNAcentral.
UACGAAGGGUGCAAACGUUGCUCGGAAUCACUGGGCGUAAAGCGCACGUAGGCGGAUUGCUAAGUCAGGGGUGAAAUCCUGGAGCUCAACUCCAGAACUGCCCUUGAUACUGGCGGUCUCGAGUCCGGGAGAGGUGAGUGGAACUGCGAGUGUAGAGGUGAAAUUCGUAGAUAUUCGCAAGAACACCAGUGGCGAAGGCGGCUCACUGGCCCGGUACUGACGCUGAGGUGCGAAAGCGUGGGGAGCAAACAGG